UCUCCAUGGCUGUCUUCUUUCCUUCU
Molecule: non-coding RNA, 26 nt
Filed under: Rattus norvegicus (Norway rat)
Lineage: Eukaryota; Metazoa; Chordata; Mammalia; Rodentia; Muridae
Source: RNAcentral